RNAcentral lists this ribosomal RNA (659 nucleotides) under uncultured bacterium. RNAcentral describes it as "bacterial SSU rRNA". It matches the Rfam family "Bacterial small subunit ribosomal RNA", at positions 76 to 747 of the family's 1533-position model. The record is from RNAcentral.
AUCUUCGGAUGUGUAUAAAGUGGCGAACGGCUGAGUAACACGUGGGCAACCUGCCCUUUGCACUGGGAUAGCCUCGGGAAACCGAGGUUAAUACCGGAUACUCCAUAUUUGUCGCAUGGCGAAUAUGGGAAAGCUCCGGCGGCAAAGGAUGGGCCCGCGGCCUGUUAGCUAGUUGGUGGGGUAGUGGCCUACCAAGGCAAUGAUGGGUAGCCGGGUUGAGAGACCGACCAGCCAGAUUGGGACUGAGACACGGCCCAGACUCCUACGGGAGGCAGCAGUGGGGAAUCUUGCACAAUGGGCGAAAGCCUGAUGCAGCGACGCCGCGUGCGGGAUGAAGGCCUUCGGGUUGUAAACCGCUUUCAGCAGGGACGAGGCCGCAAGGUGACGGUACCUGCAGAAGAAGCCCCGGCUAACUACGUGCCAGCAGCCGCGGUAAUACGUAGGGGGCAAGCGUUAUCCGGAUUCAUUGGGCGUAAAGCGCGCGUAGGCGGUCUGUUAGGUCAGGAGUUAAAUCUGGGGGCUCAACCCCUAUCCGCUCCUGAUACCGGCAGGCUUGAGUCUGGUAGGGGAAGCUGGAAUUCCAAGUGUAGCGGUGAAAUGCGCAGAUAUUUGGAAGAACACCGGUGGCGAAGGCGGUCUUCUGGGCCAUGACUGACGCU